GUCGUCAGUCGUCUAGCUCUU
RNAcentral lists this non-coding RNA (21 nucleotides) under Arabidopsis thaliana (thale cress). The record is from RNAcentral. Lineage: Eukaryota; Viridiplantae; Streptophyta; Magnoliopsida; Brassicales; Brassicaceae.